This 99-nucleotide ribosomal RNA is filed under the name Peromyscus maniculatus bairdii (prairie deer mouse). The record is from RNAcentral. Lineage: Eukaryota; Metazoa; Chordata; Mammalia; Rodentia; Cricetidae.
GCCUAUGGCCAUACUAUCCAGAAAGGGCCCAAGCUCAUCUGAUCCUGGAAGCUAAGCAGGGCUUGGGCCUGGUUAGGAUGGGAAAGCAUUCUGUAAGGA